GGAUUUGAUUUAGGAUUUGGUUAGGAUUUGAUUAGGGUUUGAUUUAGGAUUUAGGAUUUGAUUAGGAUUUGAUUUAGGAUUUUCUUAGGAUUUGAUUUAGGAUUUAAGAUUUUAUUAGGAUUUAUUUAGGGUUUAAGAUUUAGUUAGUUUUUGGCCUAAAGUUUGAAUGAAGUCCAAUAGGAUUUUAACUAGGAUUAAAUUAAGAUUGAAUUGAGAUGUAUUUGAGAUAUAUUUGUGAUCAUUUUAAUAUUUCUUUAAGAUUUUUUAUUAUUUCUUUGAAAUUUCUUUGAGGUUUCUUUAAAUUUGAUUAAAGCUUGCUUAGUAUUAUUAUGGUUUGAUUAAAGUUUAGUUAGUAUUCUAUUAGAGUUAGGAUUUUGUUGUUACAAUUUCUAUUCUACCUUCUAUAGCUAAGUGCCCGAAGCAUUCUCAAGCAAGACUUCAUGUAAUAUGACUUAUUUGGUGA
This 463-nucleotide long non-coding RNA is filed under the name Physcomitrium patens. RNAcentral's name for it is "long non-coding RNA (PPAT_LNC008884)". The record is from RNAcentral. Lineage: Eukaryota; Viridiplantae; Streptophyta; Bryopsida; Funariales; Funariaceae.